CUGGUAGUAGCUAUUUUCCUGUCUAAGCAGGGGUGCUUGGCUGCUGUGGCUAUGCAAAUCCUGCCAGCUCUGCCUCCCCACGGAGCUUCAGGCCAUGCAUGGCACCCUAUGCCUUGUCUGGAUGCCCACGGCAUGCAGUUUCUUCCGUGAAUUCAGCUUGCUUUUGGAACAAGCUUCCGGUUCGACUGUGGAAGGCCACGCCCCUUCUUCUGGAUGGAAGGGCCACGCAAGGCGCCUGUGUGAACCGCACAGGGCGGGCACUGUGACUCCAGACGGAUCUGUCUACCUGCUCCACCUUCUCAGCUGUCCCAGCAGCACAGGGAGACAACCAAUCAGUGUCAUCCUUGUGUGAAAUUCAGCCAAUGGAGGAACAGGCUCCGUCAGUCCCCUGCCUCAGUGGUUGGUGGGUCAGAAUUCCCGCUGUGUGGCUCCCUCCUGGAGACAGCCUGAACCCCAGUGUCCUGCUUGCUUGAGUGAGCAGUGAGUCCAGUUUUGCUUUUGAUUUCUGAGUUGAGAGAUGGUCUCCUUGUGCUUGAUAAAGCCAUCGUUCAAUGUAUACAUUGUGGCUAUGCUAAUUAAGACUUUCACACCCAAGCCCUAUCCUUCAUAACUUUUUUCUAUUUCCCGUAGUUACUGCUUGCUUUGUGACUUUCAUCUACUUAAUUUUCUGUCUUUGGCUGUGGUUCAUUUUACCCAAACUGCCUAAUUAUUCUGCAUUACCUGUGCUUAUUUUCAUGUAGACUGAGGGCACAAUCACUCCAAGGUAUGGUGAAGGAGGCAGAUGGGUUUUAUUGAAGGUAUGAGGCAGAGGGCAGCCAGAGGCAUCUGGAAGAGUCCAGAGCAGAAAGGGAACGGGAACGAAGUAGACUGAACACAGCCACCUAACAGUAUGGUAUGAAAGGAGAGAGAGAGAGAUGGGGGAAGAGUGGGAAGGAAGAAAGGGAGAGGACCAAGGGCGGGAGACAAGGCAGGAAAAGCAAGGCUGUGUGGAGAAAUGCUUAGCCUAGGGGAAGCCCAUGAGCAUUAGGGUAAGGGGCAGUGCGAAAGCCAGGAUGCCAGCUGUGAUGUCACUCUGAACUGUGUGACAGGCACUUGGAACCCUGGGGGCCAGCAUGAGUUUGGGUGUGUUAGCAGGCACCACAGAUAGGCAUUUAUAGUCAUCUAUAAGGGAACUGGCUCCUUUGGUAGUUCCUGAGGAAGGCUGGCUUUUAUCUAACUGCCAGAAUUUGGGGGAAGUUGCCAGUGGUUUCCUUUGGACCUGACACUCUUUGUAUUUGUUCCAAAAUUAUCCCCAAACUCCAAUCCACCCCAGGACCCCUUUCCCUGUGGGUAUCGAAUUUCUUUCACUUCAUUCCAGUAAAAUGGAAUGAAGCCUAAUCCAUUAGUUGCAUUUUCUACAGACUCUCCCGGGAUGCCCCUGAUGAUUCCAGCUGCUCAGCCAGGGGAGGGCUCCCCACACUGUUCUCCUGGGAUGUCUCUUUAGCUCUCUGUCCCAUUGUACUCCUGUUUCCUGCAGCCUGGGCAGUGUGCACAUCUGGAAAUGUCUUACUUUCACACCCUUGAUUGCUAGCCCAAGUUAUAGGCUCAGUUACGUCUACAGCGAAUUCGUAUGUUGAAGUCCUAACUCCACUAUCUCAUCGUCUGACUGUAUUUGGAGACAUAGCCUUACAAGAAGCAAUUAAGGAGCUUCCACAUAUUCCCUCCAUGAGUACAGAGAAGCUUGCCAAUGUUGACAUCUGAGGCUGAGAUCAUAGGCUCCACUUUAGCUGGGAGUCAGCCCACUCCCAGCCUGCUAGGUCUGUGCGAGCAUUUUACAGACAGGGAAGCCAACCUCAGACAGCAGCUGCUGCUGCGGAAAAGUCCACCCACUACAGAUCGAUGCCGGUGACCAUUGAUGGUGACCUCCACUAUCAGCCCUGUGGCCUGCAACUCCAUUCUAAGCACUCAUUUUCUGAGGACCCAUCAUGCUGGGUCCCCACCAGGUCACAUAGCAUGACAGAGAGUGAAGAGGGUCACCCUGGUGGAGAAGCCCCCAGCCGUCUGCAGAGGAGGCAUCAGGCCCCUUCCAAUUCCAGCAGCUCAAGACCUCGAAGAAGACUGUUCCCAGGGGAAGAAAGAGACGCUGUGCUUUCUGCCUUGACAUGGGUUUAGCAUGGGGUUAGCCUUCACUUAUUAAAGCAACUAACACUCCCAAACCCCCAGACAAAACCUGUGCUCAUUUUAGCCUGAAAAUAAUUCACAGUUCUUCUGUGUGGGUUAAUUCUACAUUGUUUGAAUGGUCCACUGCCUUUGAAAGCCAUAGCACCAGGGAGGAGGGGAUCUAG
This is a long non-coding RNA of Apodemus sylvaticus (European woodmouse), 2324 nucleotides long. RefSeq lists it as uncharacterized. The transcript is spliced from 6 exons. NCBI's taxonomy places the organism in Eukaryota, Metazoa, Chordata, Mammalia, Rodentia, Muridae. The record is from RefSeq and is a predicted model, not a curated record.